UACGGAGGGAGCUAGCGUUGUUCGGAAUUACUGGGCGUAAAGCGCACGUAGGCGGCUUACUAAGUCAGGGGUGAAAUCCUGGAGCUCAACUCCAGAACUGCCUUUGAUACUGGUAAGCUCGAGUCCGGGAGAGGUGAGUGGAACUGCGAGUGUAGAGGUGAAAUUCGUAGAUAUCGGAAGGAACAUCAGUGGCGAAAGCGACUUCCUGGACCAAUACUGACGCUCAUGUGCGAAAGCGUGGGGAGCAAACAGG
RNAcentral lists this ribosomal RNA (253 nucleotides) under uncultured bacterium. Its description in RNAcentral is "partial 16S ribosomal RNA". It matches the Rfam family "Bacterial small subunit ribosomal RNA", at positions 524 to 776 of the family's 1533-position model. The record is from RNAcentral.